This 23-nucleotide microRNA is filed under the name Xenopus laevis (African clawed frog). RNAcentral's name for it is "Xla-Mir-430-P1b_5p (mature (guide))". Lineage: Eukaryota; Metazoa; Chordata; Amphibia; Anura; Pipidae. The record is from RNAcentral.
ACUUUAACAUCGGUGUACUUUCU